This 460-nucleotide ribosomal RNA is filed under the name uncultured bacterium. RNAcentral describes it as "partial 16S ribosomal RNA". It matches the Rfam family "Bacterial small subunit ribosomal RNA", at positions 338 to 795 of the family's 1533-position model. The record is from RNAcentral.
CCUACGGGUGGCAGCAGUGAGGAAUAUUGGUCAAUGGGCGAGAGCCUGAACCAGCCAAGUCGCGUGAGGGAGGACGGCCCUACGGGUUGUAAACCUCUUUUGCCGGGGGACAAACGGCGGCACGCGUGCCGUCCUGAGGGUACCCGGAGAAAAAGCAGCGGCUAACUCCGUGCAAGCAGCCGCGGUAAUACGGAGGAGGCGAGCGUUAUCCGGAUUUAUUGGUUGUAAAGGGAGUGUAGGCGGGAAAGAAAGUGAGAGGGUAAAACUCAGGGCUCAACCCGGAGGCUGGAUGUGAAACUGUUUUUCUUGAGUGCUGGAGAGGGAGUCGGAAUUACGGGUGUAGCGGUGAAAUGCGUAGAUAUACGGAGGAACCCCAGUGGCGAAGGCGGAUUGCUGGACAGUAACUGACGCUGAGGCGCGAAAGCGUGGUGAGCAAACAGGAUUAGAUACCCUUGUAGUC